GUGUGAAUUGCAGAAUCCCGUGAACCAUCGAGUUUUUGAACGCAAGUUGCGCCCGAAGCCAUUAGGCUGAGGGCACGUCUGCCUGGGCGUCACGC
Molecule: ribosomal RNA, 95 nt
Filed under: Borreria sp. US:Radosavljevic128
Lineage: Eukaryota; Viridiplantae; Streptophyta; Magnoliopsida; Gentianales; Rubiaceae
Description: partial 5.8S ribosomal RNA
Rfam family: 5.8S ribosomal RNA
About the family: 5.8S ribosomal RNA (5.8S rRNA) is a component of the large subunit of the eukaryotic ribosome.
Source: RNAcentral